GAUGAAGAACGUAGCGAAAUGCGAUAAGUAAUGUGAAUUGCAGAAUUCAGUGAAUCAUCGAAUCUUUGAACGCACAUUGCGCCCGCCAGUAUUCUGGCGGGCAUGCCUGUUCGAGCGUCAUUUCAACCAUCAAGCCCCAGGCUUGUGUUGGGGACCUGCGGCUGCCGCAGGCCCUGAAAACCAGUGGCGGGCUCGCUGUCACACCGGGCGUAGUAGAUUUUAUCUCGCUCAGGGCGUGCUGCGGGUUCCGGCCGUUAAAAAGCCUUUUUUACCCAAGGUUGACCUCGGAUCAGGUAGGAAUACCCGCUGAGCUUAAGCAUAUCAAUAAGCGGAGGA
Molecule: unclassified non-coding RNA, 336 nt
Filed under: soil metagenome
Description: partial contains 5.8S ribosomal RNA, internal transcribed spacer 2, and large subunit ribosomal RNA
Rfam family: 5.8S ribosomal RNA (bases 1-120)
Source: RNAcentral